Long non-coding RNA from Thunnus maccoyii (southern bluefin tuna), 1749 nucleotides. RefSeq lists it as uncharacterized. Lineage: Eukaryota; Metazoa; Chordata; Actinopteri; Scombriformes; Scombridae. The record is from RefSeq and is a predicted model, not a curated record. The transcript is spliced from 4 exons.
CUGUUUAUUAACCUAUCUUUAGAUAGCUUUGUCUGGCACUACAUUGGUACACCACUGGUCACGAUGACUUUUUUUUAUCUGCUGGCAGACUGGCACCAAAAAUAACUUGGAACUCAUGGUGGUGAGGUCAAACAUAGCUAGUGUUCGAGGCCAGAUCUAGAAUUAGUUAAUCUUGAUAUCUAGCAAGCUGAUAAAUUUCCAGGCCCAGGGAUUUCUCUCCCUUAGAUCAUUCAACACCAUCUUCCUUCAGGGAUACCAUGUCCCUUUCUUCAAGUGACAAUGACCUCUCCUGUUGAAGAGAAUGGGGCAUUCCCACAGGCAGAAAUAUAUCCAGCUCUGAAGUCAUGAACAGGUCCACCACAGAUGUUUCUGAGUCAGAGGCUGCAAAAGAGAGUACAAGUCAUAUUCAAUGCAAUUUACUGAAGCACCACACCCGGAGACAGCUUGUCAACAUAUUGGCUAGCCAUAUGUCUGAGAUGCAUGGGAGCACUUCUAGGAAGGGGAAAAAGGCACAGGAUAUUUAGCAUGGUGCCUCAAGACCAUGUCCAGGAAUAAAUAUCAAUGACCAGUCAAGGCAGGCACAAUGCUUCAAGCACAAGGACCAAACUGUUGAAGAUCAGCAGCCACAGUGCCUCAGCAGCUUGAUGAGGAUGCCUGCAGGGAGGCUGUAUCAUUUCUUGUUCACUCUCUUGAUGAAGCAAGUGUGUUUCAGAAGAUGAAGAUGGCCUUGCAAUAUCGCCAGGACCUAGUGCAUGACCUGCAGUGGGAGUUUGUAGGUCUGUAAUUGUUGAGUACAUAAUGAUCUUUCUUUUGUUUUGUUUGUUUUGAGAAGAGGUCCCACAAGAGCAUGCUUGAAAAAAGAUUGUACAUAGCCAAUGGCUAGUGAGCAGUUGCUAAUGGAAAGAAAAGUUGGACAAAUAUUUGGUAGACUAUUUGCAGAGUCUGGAUAGGAUAACAUCUAAAUGACAUGAGGAGCAGUUAGGCUGAAAGACAGUCUCCAGCAGCAUCUGGAGAGAGAUCAACUAAAAAUAAGGGAAUAAAACUGUGGGUUUUUAAGUUACAAAUAUGUCUUUGAUUACAAAUAUGUCUUUAAUUACAAAGACAAAGUUACAAAUUGACUUUGAUUUUUUCAAUUUUAGCUAUAAAAAAUGCUGAAAAGUUCUUGCAUGCUCAUGAUGAAUGUUCAGGGAAUUAAUUAUUUUUAGAACCAUUGACAUGUUCAAUAGGUCUGAACAGUAUUCUGGGAUUAUGGUGGCUUUCAGUAAUAAUAUUGAAAAAUAUUUUUUUCUUGCAGUUCUGACGGCAGAGUUGUAAUUGGAAAUUAGAUACAGUCUAUCUCAUGUUACACAAUCCUGCAUUACAGAGAAGUUGCUGUUUGUUGAUUGGUUUGUAAUCUUAUCAGACUUCUGCAUUAUGAACAAGUUUGCUUAUACUGUGUUUGCACUUAAUGGAUUUUCCUCUGAAGAUGUUGUGGAAGCAAUACAAUGCAUAGGGAUGUGGUAUUGACAUUUUUUUUCAAGUUUGCUGAAAUAUGUAAAUCUCCUUAAAAAAAAUUCAGUGUAAUUUUCAUUUGAUCACACACCAUACUGUUUAGCUGCACUUAUAGUGACUUUUAAUGUGAAUGUUUGCUGUUACAUGUUAACACUGUUUACACUGUAAAGACACAAACGUAAUUUGUUACACAAGUAACUAUCCAUGCAGCAUGAAUAUAUUGUGUGGAUGUGUUCUAUAAUAUUAAGACACUUUAGU